Budorcas taxicolor (takin) is the source of this 693-nucleotide long non-coding RNA. RefSeq lists it as uncharacterized. The record is from RefSeq and is a predicted model, not a curated record. The transcript is spliced from 3 exons. Lineage: Eukaryota; Metazoa; Chordata; Mammalia; Artiodactyla; Bovidae.
GUCAGACAUUGCGUAAAGCAUGGCGGCGUCCGUAGGCGUUUGCGUCCCAGCGUGAUGACGCCGCGGCCCGGAAUGGAGUUCUGGAAACGGGAAAGGAGAGCUGUUGCAGCUUUCAAAAUGGAGAAGAUCACAUGGCAAAGAAUGCAGAUGGUCUGUGUUUGCUGAAGCAGCCCCUAGCUGAUGGCUGGCAAAGAAAUAUCAAUAGAAACCACUGUUUUAGAACUAAAGGAAACUGAAUUCUGCUACAACCAUAUGUGCCUAGAAGAAGACCCCAAGCCUAAGAUGAAGACACAGUUUGGCUGACAUCCUCAUUUCACCACUGUGAGAAUCUUAAGAGAGCCCAGGUACUAGUGCUUAGACUUCUGACUGACAUACCUGUGAAAUAAGUGAGAACACCUUCACUUAUGGCCAGAGACCUGAAAGACUUUCUUGGAUAAAAGAGUUCUUCGAGAUCUACUUGUUGCGAUAAGGAAAUACAGAGCAAAUAUCUGAUGAGGUUAUGAAGCUUUUGUUAAGUGGCAGAACAUUGUUUGAAUUUUCUCUUCAUGAAAAACAGAAAUAAAAACCAUAAUGACAUGAAGGAAAUUCAGCACAGACAAGCCUGAAUAUUUGGAGCAACAGAAUUCCUGGAGAAUGACUUAAAUCUUAUACUUAGUGAGUGCUGAUUAAUAAUCAAUAAAGCAAAUGAGUCAA